GGGGGUGUAAUGGUUUCGACGGGGGAUUUGAUGGCAGUGGCAGCGAGUCGGGAUCCCACUAGCCCGUAAAACGGUGGACAACUAAUAACUGCCAACGAAAAUUACGCAUUAGCUGCCUAGAGCAGCUACGUCCUGCCUGGGUUUGCCUGUGAUCUGGGACCAGGGCGUCAUUUAGCAGGCUAGCCAGCGGCCAAUUCUCGGAGGCCGGACGGCGAAGUCUAUCGAGAUAGCUCCAGCGCAGCCCGUCUGCGGGCGGCGUAUCAGCCUUCGGCUGAAGGAGGCUUUCGGCCAACGCGCCGCGAGGCCAAGUGGAGCGAAGAACAAUACGCAGACUGCACUCGGAGAAGCUGCUGUGGUCAGUCUUUCGGACAGGGGUUCGACUCCCCUCACCUCCACCA
This 398-nucleotide transfer-messenger RNA is filed under the name bacterium. Its description in RNAcentral is "JAAZDI01 sp012512295 Standard tmRNA". It matches the Rfam family "transfer-messenger RNA". From Rfam's summary of the family: Bacterial tmRNA, also known as 10Sa RNA or SsrA, is named for its dual tRNA and mRNA-like properties. Its role is to liberate the mRNA from a stalled ribosome. The record is from RNAcentral. RNAcentral also lists the same sequence under 1 other name.